AGUGAACGCUGGCGGUAGGCCUAACACAUGCAAGUCGAACGGCAGCACAGUAAGAGCUUGCUCUUACGGGUGGCGAGUGGCGGACGGGUGAGGAAUACAUCGGCAUCUACUUUUUCGUGGGGGAUAACGGAGGGAAACUUACGCUAAUACCGCAUACGACCUACGGGUGAAAGCAGGGGAUCUUCGCACCUUGCGCGAUUGAAUGAGCCGAUGCCGGAUUAGCUAGUUGGCGGGGUAAAGGCCCACCAAGGCGACGAUCCGUAGCUGGUCUGAGAGGAUGAUCAGCCACACUGGAACUGAGACACGGUCCAGACUCCUACGGGAGGCAGCAGUGGGGAAUAUUGGACAAUGGGCGCAAGCCUGAUCCAGCCAUACCGCGUGGGUGAAGAAGGCCUUCGGGUUGUAAAGCCCUUUUGUUGGGAAAGAAAAGCAGCAGGUUAAUACCCCGCUGUUCUGACGGUACCCAAAGAAUAAGCACCGGCUAACUUCGUG
RNAcentral lists this ribosomal RNA (492 nucleotides) under uncultured bacterium. Its description in RNAcentral is "partial 16S ribosomal RNA". It matches the Rfam family "Bacterial small subunit ribosomal RNA", at positions 29 to 507 of the family's 1533-position model. The record is from RNAcentral.